CCUACGGGAGGCAGCAGUGAGGAAUAUUGGUCAAUGGGCGCGAUCCUGAACCAGCCAAGCCGCGUGAAGGAAGACUGCCCUAUGGGUUGUAAACCUCUUUUGUCAGGGCACCAAGCCAGGGACGUGUCCCGGGCUGCGUGUACCCGAUGAAAAAGCAUCGGCUAACUCCGUGCCAGCAGCCGCGGUAAUACGGAGGAUGCGAGCGUUAUCCGGAUUUAUUGGGUUUAAAGGGUGCGUAGGCGGUCUGUUACGUCAGCGGUAAAAGUGCGGGGCUCAACCCCGUCGAGCCGUUGAUACUGGCAGUCUGGAGUUGGCGAGAGGUAGGCGGAAUGCGCGGUGUAGCGGUGAAAUGCAUAGAUAUCGCGCAGAACUCCGAUUGCGAAGGCAGCGUACUGGCGCCACACUGACGCUGAGGCACGAAAGCGUGGGGAUCGAACAGGAUUAGAUACCCCGGUAGUC
This 459-nucleotide ribosomal RNA is filed under the name uncultured bacterium. Its description in RNAcentral is "partial 16S ribosomal RNA". It matches the Rfam family "Bacterial small subunit ribosomal RNA", at positions 338 to 795 of the family's 1533-position model. The record is from RNAcentral.